GGGGAAUAUUGCACAAUGGGCGAAAGCUUGAUGCAGCGACGCCGCGUGGGGGAUGAAGGCCUUCGGGUUGUAAACCUCUUUCGGCUCUGACGAAGCUGCCUGGUUUUCCGGGUGGUGACGGUAGGGGUUGAAGAAGCGCCGGCCAACUACGUGCCAGCAGCCGCGGUAAGACGUAGGGCGCGAGCGUUGUCCGGAUUUAUUGGGCGUAAAGAGCUCGUAGGCGGCCUGUCACGUCAUCCGUGAAAUCCUGCGGCUUAACCGUGGGCGUGCGGUUGAUACGGGCGGGCUGGAGUUCGGUAGGGGAGACUGGAAUUCCUGGUGUAGCGGUGAAAUGCGCAGAUAUCAGGAGGAACACCGGUGGCGAAGGCGGGUCUCUGGGCCGAGACUGACGCUGAGGAGCGAGAGCGUGGGGAGCGAAC
This 419-nucleotide ribosomal RNA is filed under the name uncultured bacterium. RNAcentral's name for it is "bacterial SSU rRNA". It matches the Rfam family "Bacterial small subunit ribosomal RNA", at positions 356 to 773 of the family's 1533-position model. The record is from RNAcentral.